GGAAGCGGCUGUGGAGUUUACAGAAGUGAGAAUGCCGGAAUGAGUAGCGCGAAUGUGGUGAGAAUCCACAUGGCCGGAAACCUCAGGUUUUUGGAGGAAGGUUCGUCCGCUCCAAGUUAGGCGGGAGCUAAGGUCAGGCCGAAAGGCGUAGCCGAUGCACAAACGGUUGAUAUUCCGUUACCGUCUACAAUUUAAACAAGGGGACACAUACAAAGCGUUUAACCCGGGCGAUGGUUGACCCGGGCGCAAGGGACUGAAAUUAGAGUAGGGAAGUAAAUGUAGCGUAUGGCGAGAAAAGCUUUGUGUAUAGAAGUAGACGCCCGUACCGCAAACCGACACAGGUGGACAGGAAGAGAAUUCUAAGGCCAGCGGGAGAAGGGUAGUUAAGGAACUCGGCAAAUUGACUCCGUAACUUCGGAAUAAGGAGUGCUCGAAAGAGCCGCAGAGAAUAGGCCCAGGCGACUGUUUAGCAAAAACACAGGUCUCUGCCAAAUCGAAAGAUGAAGUAUAGGGGCUGACACCUGCCCGGUGCCGGAAGGUUAAGAGGAGGAGUGCAAGCUCCGAAUUGAAGCCCCGGUAAACGGCGGCCGUAACUAUAACGGUCCUAAGGUAGCGAAAUUCCUUGUCGGGUAAGUUCCGACCCGCACGAAUGGUGUAACGAUCUGGGCACUGUCUCAACUACCCACCCGGCGAAAUUGUAGUACCGGUGAAGAUGCCGGUUACCUGCGGCAAGACGGAAAGACCCCAUGGAGCUUUACUGUAGCCUGAUAUUGGGUUUCGGAAAUCUAUGUACAGGAUAGGCGGGAGACUGGGAAGUAUGAGCGUCAGCUUAUACGGAGUCAUUGUUGGGAUACCGCCCUUAGGUUUCUGGAAUUCUAACCUGCGACCGUGAAUCCGGUCGGGGGACAUUGUCAGGUGGGCAGUUUGACUGGGGCGGUCGCCUCCGAAAAGGUAACGGAGGCGCUCAAAGGUUGGCUCAGCACGGACGGAAACCGUGCCUCAGAGUGUAAACGCAAAAGCCAGCCUAACUGCGAGGAUGACGGUCCGAGCAGUAACGAAAGUUGGAGUUAGUGAUCCGGCGGUAUGUGAAUGGAAAUGCCGUCGCUCAACGGAUAAAAGCUACCCUGGGGAUAACAGGCUGAUCUCCCCCAA
Molecule: ribosomal RNA, 1152 nt
Filed under: human gut metagenome
Description: bacterial LSU rRNA
Rfam family: Bacterial large subunit ribosomal RNA
Source: RNAcentral